GCUGGGCACAGUGGUGCAUGCCUGUAAUCCCAGUAGCUCAGGAGGCUGAGGCAGGAUGAUCGCCAGCCUCAGCAAUUUUGGGAGGCCCUAGGCAACUUAGCAAGACCCUGUCUCUA
RNAcentral lists this small RNA (116 nucleotides) under Marmota monax (woodchuck). The record is from RNAcentral. Lineage: Eukaryota; Metazoa; Chordata; Mammalia; Rodentia; Sciuridae.